This 416-nucleotide ribosomal RNA is filed under the name uncultured microorganism. RNAcentral's name for it is "bacterial SSU rRNA". It matches the Rfam family "Archaeal small subunit ribosomal RNA", at positions 330 to 744 of the family's 1478-position model. The record is from RNAcentral.
GUGCACCAGGCGCGAAACCUCCGCAAUACACGAAAGUGUGACGGGGCCAUCCCGAGUGCCGUCCGCUGAGGACGGCUUUUCCCCAGUGUACACAGCUGGGGGAAUAAGGAGAGGGCAAGCCUGGUGUCAGCCGCCGCGGUAAUACCAGCUCUCCGAGUGGUGGGGACGCUUAUUGGGCCUAAAGCAUCCGUAGCCGGCUGGGCAAGUCCUCCGUUAAAUCCAACGAUUCAAUCGUUGGGCUGCGGGGGAUACUGUCCAGCUUGGGGGCGGGAGAGGCCGACGGUAUUCCCCGGGGUAGGGGUGAAAUUCCUAUAAUCCCCGGGAGGACCACCAGUGGCGAAGGCUGUCGGCUAGAACGCGCCCGACGGUGAGGGAUGAAAGCUGGGGGAGCGAACCGGAUUAGGAUACCCCUGUAG